AUAUAGACGACGAGUUCCAAAUAGGACGUAACGCACGUCCUAGAU
Molecule: non-coding RNA, 45 nt
Filed under: Schistosoma mansoni
Lineage: Eukaryota; Metazoa; Platyhelminthes; Trematoda; Strigeidida; Schistosomatidae
Source: RNAcentral